GACGAACGCUGGCGGCGUGCUUAACACAUGCAAGUCGAACGGAAAGGCCCUGCUUUUGUGGGGUGCUCGAGUGGCGAACGGGUGAGUAACACGUGAGUAACCUGCCCUUGACUUUGGGAUAACUUCAGGAAACUGGGGCUAAUACCGGAUAGGAGCUCCUGCUACAUGGUGGGGGUUGGAAAGUUUCGGCGGUUGGGGAUGGACUCGCGGCUUAUCAGCUUGUUGGUGGGGUAGUGGCUUACCGAGGCUUUGACGGGUAGCCGGCCUGAGAGGGUGACCGGCCACAUUGGGACUGAGAUACGGCCCAGACUCCUACGGGAGGCAGCAGUGGGGAAUAUUGCACAAUGGGCGGAAGCCUGAUGCAGCAACGCCGCGUGCGGGAUGACGGCCUUCGGGUUGUAAACCGCUUUCGCCUGUGACGAAGCGUGAGUGACGGUAAUGGGUAAAGAAGCACCGGCUAACUACGUG
RNAcentral lists this ribosomal RNA (468 nucleotides) under uncultured bacterium. RNAcentral's name for it is "partial 16S ribosomal RNA". It matches the Rfam family "Bacterial small subunit ribosomal RNA", at positions 28 to 507 of the family's 1533-position model. The record is from RNAcentral.